GAUGAACGCUAGCUACAGGCUUAACACAUGCAAGUCGAGGGGCAUCAGGAAGAAAGCUUGCUUUCUUUGCUGGCGACCGGCGCACGGGUGAGUAACACGUAUCCAACCUGCCCUUUACUCGGGGAUAGCCUUUCGAAAGAAAGAUUAAUACCCGAUAGCAUAAUGAUUCCGCAUGGUUUCAUUAUUAAAGGAUUCCGGUAAAGGAUGGGGAUGCGUUCCAUUAGGUUGUUGGUGAGGUAACGGCCCACCAAGCCUUCGAUGGAUAGGGGUUCUGAGAGGAAGGUCCCCCACAUUGGAACUGAGACACGGUCCAAACUCCUACGGGAGGCAGCAGUGAGGAAUAUUGGUCAAUGGGCGUUAGCCUGAACCAGCCAAGUAGCGUGAAGGAUGAAGGCUCUAUGGGUCGUAAACUUCUUUUAUAUAAGAAUAAAGUGCAGUAUGUAUACUGUUUUGUAUGUAUUAUAUGAAUAAGGAUCGGCUAACUCCGUGCCAGCAGCCGCGGUAAUACGGAGGAUCCGAGCGUUAUCCGGAUUUAUUGGGUUUAAAGGGAGCGUAGGUGGACUGGUAAGUCAGUUGUGAAAGUUUGCGGCUCAACCGUAAAAUUGCAGUUGAUACUGUCAGUCUUGAGUACAGUAGAGGUGGGCGGAAUUCGUGGUGUAGCGGUGAAAUGCUUAGAUAUCACGAAGAACUCCGAUUGCGAAGGCAGCUCACUGGACUGNCACUGACACUGAUGCUCGAAAGUGUGGGUAUCAAA
Molecule: ribosomal RNA, 754 nt
Filed under: uncultured bacterium
Lineage: Bacteria
Description: bacterial SSU rRNA
Rfam family: Bacterial small subunit ribosomal RNA
Source: RNAcentral